RNAcentral lists this ribosomal RNA (253 nucleotides) under uncultured bacterium. RNAcentral describes it as "partial 16S ribosomal RNA". It matches the Rfam family "Bacterial small subunit ribosomal RNA", at positions 524 to 776 of the family's 1533-position model. The record is from RNAcentral.
UACGAAGGGGGCUAGCGUUGUUCGGAAUUACUGGGCGUAAAGGGCGCGUAGGCUGCCUUCUAAGUCGAACGUGAAAUCCCCGGGCUCAACCCGGGAACUGCGUCCGAUACUGGAAGGCUUGAAUCCGGGAGAGGGAUGCGGAAUUCCAGGUGUAGCGGUGAAAUGCGUAGAUAUCUGGAGGAACACCGGUGGCGAAGGCGGCAUCCUGGACCGGCAUUGACGCUGAGGCGCGAAAGCCAGGGGAGCAAACGGG